Anas platyrhynchos (mallard) is the source of this 288-nucleotide non-coding RNA. NCBI's taxonomy places the organism in Eukaryota, Metazoa, Chordata, Aves, Anseriformes, Anatidae. The record is from RefSeq and is a predicted model, not a curated record.
CUAGAGCGCCAAUCUGGAAGACUGCGUGAGUGUACCCUAGGGAAAUGGAUUCUCAUCAUGUAAUGAGAAUCUGUACUCUCUCACCAAGUAUUUUUGCUUUUCUUAUGCAGAGUAUCUAACUGAAGAGCUGGUGAGAAAGAAUAAAGAACGCAGUGAGUAUCCUCCACCACAACAAAACACUAUGGGGUCCAGUGAUGGAAUGAGAAGAUCUCCCCUCUCAUCAGACAUUUCUUUUCUCUCCCCGUCUUUUUUUUUUUUUUUCUUCAGAGGAACAAGUAGGAGAGCUGG